RNAcentral lists this ribosomal RNA (486 nucleotides) under uncultured Sphingobacteriales bacterium. RNAcentral's name for it is "bacterial SSU rRNA". It matches the Rfam family "Bacterial small subunit ribosomal RNA", at positions 894 to 1382 of the family's 1533-position model. The record is from RNAcentral. Lineage: Bacteria; Pseudomonadati; Bacteroidota; Sphingobacteriia; Sphingobacteriales.
CAGAAACUCAACGGAACUUGACGGGGCCCGCACAAGCGGUGGAGCAUGUGGUUAAUUCGAUGAUACGCGAGGACCUUACCUGGGCUCAAAUGUAUGUUUGACGUAUUCUGAAAGGGAUACUUCUUCGGACAAUAUACAAGGUGCUGCAUGGUUGUCGUCAGCUCGUGCCGUGAGGUGUCCGGGUUAAGUCCCAUAACGAGCGCAACCCCUAUCAUUAGUUGCCAUCAGGUCAAGCUGGGGACUCUAAUGAAACUGCCUACGCAAGUAGUGAGGAAGGUGGGGAUGACGUCAAAUCAGCACGGCCCUUACGUCCAGGGCUACACACGUGCUACAAUGGCCGGUACAAAGGGCAGCUACCUGGUGACAGGAUGCUAAUCUCAAAAAGCCGGUCUCAGUUCGGAUCGGAGUCUGCAACUCGACUCCAUGAAGUUGGAAUCGCUAGUAAUCGUGGAUCAGCAUGCCACGGUGAAUACGUUCCCGGGCCUU